RNAcentral lists this non-coding RNA (27 nucleotides) under Rattus norvegicus (Norway rat). The record is from RNAcentral. Lineage: Eukaryota; Metazoa; Chordata; Mammalia; Rodentia; Muridae.
CACCCAGUCAUGGAUUCAGGAAGAGGU